RNAcentral lists this ribosomal RNA (465 nucleotides) under uncultured Klebsiella sp. RNAcentral's name for it is "bacterial SSU rRNA". It matches the Rfam family "Bacterial small subunit ribosomal RNA", at positions 338 to 795 of the family's 1533-position model. The record is from RNAcentral. Lineage: Bacteria; Pseudomonadati; Pseudomonadota; Gammaproteobacteria; Enterobacterales; Enterobacteriaceae.
CCUACGGGCGGCAGCAGUGGAGAAUAUUGCACAAUGGGCGCAAGCCUGAUGCAGCCAUGCCGCGUGUGUGAAGAAGGCCUUCGGGUUGUAAAGCACUUUCAGCGGGGAGGAAGGCGGUGAGGUUAAUAACCUCAUCGAUUGACGUUACCCGCAGAAGAAGCACCGGCUAACUCCGUGCCAGCAGCCGCGGUAAUACGGAGGGUGCAAGCGUUAAUCGGAAUUACUGGGCGUAAAGCGCACGCAGGCGGUCUGUCAAGUCGGAUGUGUAAUCCCCGGGCUCAACCUGGGAACUGCAUUCGAAACUGGCAGGCUAGAGUCUUGUAGAGGGGGGUAGAAUUCCAGGUGUAGCGGUGAAAUGCGUAGAGAUCUGGAGGAAUACCGGUGGCGAAGGCGGCCCCCUGGACAAAGACUGACGCUCAGGUGCGAAAGCGUGGGGAGCAAACAGGAUUAGAUACCCGUGUAGUC